CUGGAAAUACAUGAAAAUGCUGUUCCCAGAUAAAGUGCCAGUUGGCAGCAGGAAAAGGAAAAAAAAUACGAGCAUGAGGCAAAGUGAAGACCUGAACAGGGGAGGAGCAGAGACUUUAAAUAUACUGGGUAGGGGGAGCAUUCCUGCUGUUAGGGAUGUGCUAUUUCCUGUUCCUCUUGGCACCCAGGCAUCAUGGAGGAAGAAAUGAGGGGAGGAUUGCAGGACCCCAUCUAGUGCACAAGAUGGAAUAUGCUCUGAGGCUGACUCAGGGCUCUAUACUGAAUGAGACUAUUACCUGUAAGAUCCCUGCAAAUAUUGGGUUUAUUGCAAAGGAAGCAAGGGAGUGCUGGAAGAGAAAGGAUGGACUCAUGUUUAACACAGAUGAAUGCUGCCCUGGAGUCUUGGAUUUUAUCCCUGUUUCUGCCUCAGUUCCUAUAUGAUGCUGGACAAGUCACUUACACCAAACAUUUCACAACUGGACACUAGUUGUGUGUUCCUCAUUUUCUGAGUGCCUGACUUGAGACCCUGAUAUCUGAUUUACAGAAGCGCUGAGUGGCUAUGCUUUUCGUUUUGGCUAUGUUAAUACCUCCCCUACUUCUCAGGGCAUGCUGCUUUUGAAGGCACACAUUAUGUUUUGAUUAGGCUGUGAAUUACACAUUCCCUCCAGCGUUCUUGUCUCUUCACUGUCAUUGACCUUCCCACACUCAAACCUAGUUUGAGAUGAUUAUUGUUAUGAGCAUGAUUUAGGAAAUGUUAAGGAAAAUUAUCUUCGCUUCCUAAUGCCUGCUACUUCUGCGAUGGGUGUGUGUGUGUGGGGUGGAGGGGGGCGCAUUGUCCCUCAUUCUAGUUCUUUGUCCCAUAUGUAGUCACUAACAGGCUGAGUGAUGAAAUAGUGACUCUCUGAGAAAAGUAAUACAGAAAAAAGGUGAGGAUAGCUGCUUAUUAAAAACCAAGAAGAGGAUUACAGUGGUUUCAUUCUUUGGGACUAAGAAUUGUCUCGUGGAUGAAUCAUGGGACUGAUAAUAAGAAGAUCCGAGACCAGGCUGUGACACUAACUAAACUGCUUGUGACCUUAGGCCAGGCAUUUGAGUCUUAGUUUCUGCAUCUGUGAUAUGAGACUAUUACCUACCUCGAAGAAGACAAUGUGAAGAUUAAUUCCUUACUAUGUAUAAAACAUUCUGAUAUCUAUAAAAGCAUGAUGCUUUGGAAAUGCAUUUUUUCCUCCCAGAAUGGUAGUGUAUGUUUGUGUGUGUGAGCGCACAUGUACACAGGAAAAAAACCCUAUGUCAACAGAACAUUAACACUUCAAAGUCAAGGAUUAAAUGCCUUGAUUAAAGUUGCAAAAUGCCAGGAUUAAAGUUAUCUGUGAAGCCUUCAUUUGGGUAUGAAUUAAAAUAGUCUUGGGAAUCAUCACUUAGGCAGUUUCUGACAGAAUCAAGAGACCUGUCCUGCUGGGUUUCAGUAAUGAGUCUUUCUCUUCAUACAACCCUCUGCCAAAAUAACUAUCCACUCUGUAUAGCGACCGAAGGAGGGGCUCUGUAGAACAAAUAUGUGAGCAUGUUAUUAAUGAUGAUAGUAAAAUGAAUAUGCACAAAGUGGCCAAAUUAGAAUUGCACAAGUAAUGUUAAUUCUGGCAUUUUCCUACUCUUUA
Long non-coding RNA from Mauremys reevesii (Reeves's turtle), 1651 nucleotides. RefSeq lists it as uncharacterized. The transcript has 3 exons. The record is from RefSeq and is a predicted model, not a curated record. Lineage: Eukaryota; Metazoa; Chordata; Testudines; Geoemydidae.